CCUACGGGAGGCAGCAGUGAGGAAUAUUGGUCAAUGGACGAGAGUCUGAACCAGCCAAGUAGCGUGAAGGAUGACUGCCCUACGGGUUGUAAACUUCUUUUAUGGGAGAAUAAAGUGAGGUACGCGUACCUUAUUGUAGGUAUCCCAUGAAUAAGCAUCGGCUAAUUCCGUGCCAGCAGCCGCGGUAAU
Molecule: ribosomal RNA, 189 nt
Filed under: uncultured bacterium
Lineage: Bacteria
Description: partial 16S ribosomal RNA
Rfam family: Bacterial small subunit ribosomal RNA
Source: RNAcentral